This 245-nucleotide ribosomal RNA is filed under the name uncultured bacterium. RNAcentral's name for it is "partial 16S ribosomal RNA". It matches the Rfam family "Archaeal small subunit ribosomal RNA", at positions 474 to 722 of the family's 1478-position model. The record is from RNAcentral.
UACCAGCACCCCGAGUGGUCGGGACGUUUAUUGGCCUAAAGCAUCCGUAGCCGGUUCUACAAGUCUUCCGUUAAAUCCAGCUGCUUAACAGAUGGCUGCGGAAGAUACUAUAGAGCUAGGAGGCGGGAGAGGCAAGCGGUACUCGAUGGGUAGGGGUAAAAUCCGUUGAUCCAUUGAAGACCACCAGUGGCGAAGGCGGCUUGCCAGAACGCGCUCGACGGUGAGGGAUGAAAGCUGGGGAGCAA